AUCGCCUUCUGAAAAUACACAAAUAGAAGGUCCCGCCUGCCCUGUGAUCAUGGAUUUAACGGCCGCGGUAUUUUGACCGUGCAAAGGUAGCGCAAUCACUUGUCUUUUAAAUGAAGACCUGUAUGAAUGGCAUAACGAGGGCUUGACUGUCUCCCUCACCCAGUCAGUGAAAUUGAUUUUCCCGUGCAGAAGCGGGGAUAAGAACAUAAGACGAGAAGACCCUGUGGAGCUUUAGAUAAUAAAUGGACCCCGUAAAGAAUGCCUUAUUAACGGACAAAACAAAGAGUCAACCCAUUUUGCUGUCUUUGGUUGGGGCGACCGCGGGGAAAAGAAUAACCCCCAUGAGGAAUCUGAGCACCACUCUUUAAAUGGAGAGCAUCAGCUCAACAUAACAGAACAUCUGACCUAUAAUGAUCCGGUAGAAAUACCGAUCAACGAAACCAGUUACCCCAGGGAUAACAGCGCAAUCCUCUCCCAGAGCCCAUAUCGACGAGAGGGUUUACGACCUCGAUGUUGGAUCAGGACAUCCUAAUGGUGCAGCCGCUAUUAAGGGUUCGUUUGUUCAACGAUUAAAGUCCUACGUGAU
Molecule: ribosomal RNA, 586 nt
Filed under: Cirripectes filamentosus (filamentous blenny)
Lineage: Eukaryota; Metazoa; Chordata; Actinopteri; Blenniiformes; Blenniidae
Also listed under: 1 other name
Description: partial 16S ribosomal RNA
Rfam family: Bacterial large subunit ribosomal RNA
Source: RNAcentral